RNAcentral lists this long non-coding RNA (926 nucleotides) under Lathyrus oleraceus (garden pea). RNAcentral describes it as "Pisum sativum (pea) long non-coding RNA (PSAT_LNC031283)". Lineage: Eukaryota; Viridiplantae; Streptophyta; Magnoliopsida; Fabales; Fabaceae. The record is from RNAcentral.
AGUGGUGGCUUGUAGGAGGAACUCGAGCACUUAGGCACGACGCAUCAGAGCAAUUAGGUUACUCACGGCGGCGCCGGUGGCGCUCCGGUGGGUGGCGGCCGGUGGCCGCCAUGCCACGGUUUAAUUUUAAUUAGUGCUCCUGAUUUUGGUCUUUGCUUAGAGUCUGAAUUUCGAAUUCGAAACAUGCAACCAUUCAUGAAGUGGUACAUAAUGUAUCCAUAGGUGAACCAUUGCAAACAUAUGCUGAAAAGAUGUUGUUUCAUCAAGAGUUGCAACUUUGUGAAACAACACAUGUAUGACCUAUAAAUACAUUGUUCAAUAUUCGAAAAUCAGAUCAUCAAAUUUGUGCAUCCUCUUCUUAUAAGACACAUUUCUCUACAUUUGAAUAUUCAUUAGUCUUGUGCAGAUUCGAUUACGAGACUGGAUUAUCAUGUGUAUUCUUGGCGUUCAACUCUAAGACAAUAAAGAAAAUACUUCAAAUACUUUUAAGGAAACUGACAUCAAUCACGAUUCAGACCUGUAUCCAUUCAACUAUACUGAAAUAUCUAAUAUCUAUAACAAUGAUUAAAAACGUAGUCAUUAGGCAUAAGAUGAAUCAUGUUGAUAUAUAAUUCUUUUAAGUGCUAUUAAAUCCCACUGUUAUGGUUUGGAUAUCUACAAUUACUCGUUUAGCUCUAUAACCCACUGUUAUGGUUUGGAUAUCUACGAUCACUCGUUUAGCUCUAUAAAAAGUCUCUUUAACAAUGGUUCAUAUAAAAGGGUUAUUGUAGCUUGAUUUUGCGCUACAACACACGGUUUAUGAAUAAAUUUUAUUAACGUGUUUUUAAACCCUCUUAUAAACUACAGAAGGAAAAAAGUAUUGCGCAUUUGAUAUGUUAGAACUUUGAUAUAGUGUUUUUUUUAUAAAUUAAAUCAUCUUAUGGUAU